Molecule: ribosomal RNA, 407 nt
Filed under: uncultured bacterium
Lineage: Bacteria
Description: partial 16S ribosomal RNA
Rfam family: Bacterial small subunit ribosomal RNA
Source: RNAcentral
GACGAACGCUGGCGGCGUGCCUAAUACAUGCAAGUCGAGCGAGCGGCGGACGGGUGAGUAACACGUAAGGAACCUACCGAUAAGCGGGGGACAACAUCCGGAAACGGGUGCUAAUACCGCAUACUUAUCGAUGGUCUUUCGGUGCAUUAGCUGGUUGGUGGGGUAACGGCCUACCAAGGCAAUGAUGCAUAGCCGACCGGAGAGGGUAAUCGGCCACAUUGGAACUGAGACACGGCCCAGACUCCUACGGGAGGCAGCAGUAGGGAAUCUUCGGCAAUGGGCGCAAGCCUGACGGAGCAACGCCGCGUGAGUGAAGAAGGUUUUCGGAUCGUAAAGCUCUGUUGUAAGAGAAGCGGUAUCUUAAGAGAAAGCACCGGCUAACUACGUGCCAGCAGCCGCGGUAAUAC